Long non-coding RNA from Lolium perenne, 892 nucleotides. RefSeq lists it as uncharacterized. The record is from RefSeq and is a predicted model, not a curated record. Lineage: Eukaryota; Viridiplantae; Streptophyta; Magnoliopsida; Poales; Poaceae.
GAGCGCUCGGAGGAGGAGCCACCGCUGCUGGGGAGGCGCGUCGCCGGCAGGCAGCCACGGGGGAGACACGCUACCGACGCCUGGUGCUCUUCGCGUCCUGGGCUGGCUGCCUGGCGUGUACCAUGGAGGAGCGCUCUAUUGUUAGAACGGCCUAACAUCGGAAAAUUGGGCUAGACAUCAGCUUAUGGUGAGGGUUCAGGUCACAGUGGCUCUCUUGCAAGCCCCUUCAGCCCCAAGUCUUGGCGAUCGCCAAGAACUCAUCCAACCUGGUGCCUCAGCUCAAUUUUGAAUACUUUAGCAUGCCCACUUAUACAAGUCGAUGCAGUCUGGAAGCUUAACUGAGUCUCGCCGAAGGUCUCUUUGGCACUUCAACCCAAAGCAUUUGGGCUGCAACUCGGAACUCAUAUUGGAGCAAUUCUAUGCAUCCAAGAUGAAGAUUGGUUCAUGGACAAUAGAGUGAUAUUACCGCUGCUGCAGCCAAUGAUUUCAUAUCAGCUCUAGGUCAAUGGGAGAUCGCUCCCCAGUUAGCAGCCAUAUUCAAUAGUUCAUCAUUCGGUCACAGGAGGAUCUAUCACAUUCCGAGGCGCCACAACUAUCGAGUGUAUCAUCAGGUUAGGCUGACACUUAGGAUGCUUGAUAGAAGUAUUGCUUUUAGGGCUUAAGUUAUUCUCCAGAAUCUGGGUUAUGAUCAAUGAGAGUUGUUUUUUCAGAACAUGCACUGUUGCCGUUCAGAUCUAUCUCUGUAAAGUGUUGCUAAUUAAUGAAAUUCCCCAGUUAAAAAAUCAAAAGCUUUCACUGAAUCUUUUCUGUUUGUUUUUGUUAGUUAGUCUGUGAGAGCUGAAUCGUUGUUUGUCAUGUUGUAAGAGUAUGUUUACUUAUUGUUCCUUUCUGA